RNAcentral lists this unclassified non-coding RNA (206 nucleotides) under uncultured Basidiomycota. Its description in RNAcentral is "sequence contains ITS1". Lineage: Eukaryota; Fungi; Basidiomycota. The record is from RNAcentral.
ACGAAUCUAAAGUCGAUACGCUGUGCUGGUGGAAACACAUGUGCACGUGUGUCGCAAAUCCACACACCUGUGAACCUUUGACUCUGAGGUGAUGAGCGUCCGGACUCGUCUGGAUGCGUGGGGAUCUUCUGGUCUCCAGUCCCUCGGGGUACUUUUUAUACACUCCGAAUGUAAAAGAAUGUACCUGUGCAUAAUGCGCAACUAUA